Molecule: long non-coding RNA, 848 nt
Organism: Rhipicephalus microplus (southern cattle tick)
Lineage: Eukaryota; Metazoa; Arthropoda; Arachnida; Ixodida; Ixodidae
Source: RefSeq, a predicted model, not a curated record
CAUGGAGGCCUCCGUGAGCGCGGCAGACGUCGAAAACAAUUUUUUUCGGCUUUUGUGACGUGAUAAAUGCCAAGAAAAAAACGUUUUCUUUUUAGGUUGCGUUCACUGACCACUUGCGGUGAGCUAUUGUAAACAAACGUAUGUUUGGUAUGUUUGCGGCCGCAGGACUGUGGUAGCGUGGUCGUUCUGUGGCGUGGGUCGGUGUUCUGGCAAGUGUUCUGUGGGUCGGUCAAUCUAGCGUGUAGAGCAAGUGGUGGUCAGAGCGCAUUCAAGUUUUACACAUAGACGAGCGCAUAGCGGUCACCGCCACAUAUUAGCAAGAUGGAACCGCAGAAGAAACGGAAAAAGCGCGGAAGGUAUAAAAAGUAUCUGAAUCCAAGCAGUGUAUGCAGUGUGCCCAGAUCAACAGACUCAUCAGCUAGGCUGCGGCUCGCUAAAACUGAAUCCAUAAAGGAUGGCUCACACAAUAAAAGUUCGGAUGAAGGUCCGCUGGAUUCGCGGCCGCCCGUCGGUCAAGCGGAGUACACGGUACCGCAAAAUGCGACAUCGAUGGCCGCUGCGGUGUUGGCGGCGGACAGUGCUGUGCAGCAUGCGAAUAAUGACGACGAUGGGCAGCGAUUCCGAUGGAGCGAGCAGCCUAUGUUCUAGAACGCUGACAUCUCCGCAGCCAGCCAUUCCGGGUGAUCGAAGUGAACGACAGAGAGAUCUGCAAGAUAUAGAUGAUGGAGGUGAUUACAGUGGAGACUGUGCCGCCACUGUGUAUGAUCCAUGUGGUGCAAAUCAUUUCAUCAGUGAUGAUGACAACACAGAUUUUGGCAGUUGUGAUGACACAACUGACCCUACAACAA